Lemur catta (Ring-tailed lemur) is the source of this 546-nucleotide long non-coding RNA. RefSeq lists it as uncharacterized. The transcript has 4 exons. NCBI's taxonomy places the organism in Eukaryota, Metazoa, Chordata, Mammalia, Primates, Lemuridae. The record is from RefSeq and is a predicted model, not a curated record.
GGAUGGUGUCGCCCGGGGGCCAGGUGGAUGGUUACAUGUAAAGGAAAGAAUUUUCUCAAACCUUAGACGUUUCUGAAUACCCACCUACCUAGGCAAAUCUUGGAUGCAUUUUUGAACUCUAGUUUUUUUUUAACGUUCUGAUUCCUGGGGCCUCUAACCAAGUACAAAGAUGAAAAGACUGAGAGAAAUAAAGAAGCAAUUAUAAUACAGUAGGAAGUUUGCUGUUUCAAGGAUUGUAUGAGGACACUGAAUCACAGAAGUGGAAUAACUUGAACCUGAGGGGACGGAGCAAGAUGGCCAAAUAGAAACCUUCAAGAGUUGUCCCUCUGCACAAACACAUAAUUCAACAAUUCUCCAAGCCAGCAAGCGCCUUGAGGAGAACAAAAAUCAGAGAUCCCUUUACUCUAACUGUGUCUCUUAAGAAGUCGUGCCAGUGUCUGCUGAAGUUUUCACCUGUCUGCAGCAAAAUGAGAAAAACGUGAACAAUGCGCUACUUAAAAGGCUAAACUGACUCAUCUUAAAGGGCUUUUAAAAAAAAUCUGCGAU